RNAcentral lists this ribosomal RNA (423 nucleotides) under uncultured microorganism. RNAcentral's name for it is "bacterial SSU rRNA". It matches the Rfam family "Bacterial small subunit ribosomal RNA", at positions 9 to 429 of the family's 1533-position model. The record is from RNAcentral.
GAGUUUGAUCUUGGCUCAGGUUGAACGCUGGCGGCAUGCCUUACACAUGCAAGUCGAACGGCAGCAUGAUCUAGCUUGCUAGAUUGAUGGCGAGUGGCGAACGGGUGAGUAAUACAUCGGGAACGUGCCCUGUAGUGGGGGAUAACUAGUCGAAAGAUUAGCUAAUACCGCAUACGACCUGAGGGUGAAAGUGGGGGACCGCAAGGCCUCAUGCUAUAGGAGCGGCCGAUGUCUGAUUAGCUAGUUGGCGGGGUAAAGGCCCACCAAGGCGACGAUCAGUAGCUGGUCUGAGAGGACGAUCAGCCACACUGGGACUGAGACACGGCCCAGACUCCUACGGGAGGCAGCAGUGGGGAAUUUUGGACAAUGGGCGAAAGCCUGAUCCAGCAAUGCCGCGUGUGUGAAGAAGGCCUCGGUUGUAAG